AAGUAAUGAAGAGUGAUAAAACGUGUUUAACGCAUAUCGUAGAAGUGCAUUGAAGCGUUCAGAAGGCAAAAAGUUUUAGAAAUAGUAUGUGGUUUAAGAUGGUAUGAGUACAAUAUAUGAACAACAUCAGUGCAGGGGGUCAUAGUCCAAAGUGAAACAUGGAGAUAUUCCACCUGCAAAUUAUUUGGGAAAUGAGCAAUCAAAUGCCUAUCAGAAUACUUUGAUUGUACGAAAAUCCUGAAUAACAUAGUGACUAAUCAAUAUCAGGAAAAGGAAAAACUUAAUAAAGUAAUAUUGGGCAAGCAAAAUUAAAUGGUUAAUAUUAGACAGUGAAAACACUCACAAAAAAUGUGAAUCAGUCUCCUUGUACAUGAAAACUAAGAACUCGGGAAAUCAGAGACCAUUACUUCAGCUCAUGAAUUGAGUAGCUCUUUCCUCGAAAUAAUAAUUGAAUGGUUAGAAUAUAUAAUAUGUUCCAAAUAAAGUAAAUCGCAUGUUUCUCCUUUCAUAGCCUUGAUGAUGAACAUAGAUACAUAGAAAUGAGAAUUACCAGUUUUGGAAAACUAAACAUUAUUGCUAAACUAAAGAUGUAGAACAAAAAUAAUUCUGGAGUAACCAAAGGUGAACAACCUGAAAUGAUACAAAGCAAUUAAAGGACGGACAAACAUUAGCUGCAUUUUUGGAUUGGCAUUAGAAAGUAAUGUGAAAUCAUAGAGGAUGUCACCUCGAUGAAUUAAUACUCAAGUGGCAUCCAACCAGUUUUAUGUAGUAAAUCUGCAAGGAAAGAAAAUAUUAGUGGUCUCUACUUUGAAAUCUAGCCUUGGUCAAAGAAGAGACUGAAAAUAAAUGAAGGAACCUUACAUGUAUUUGUAGUAGGCAAUAGAUAUAAGGGCAUAAUGUAUGCCUCUUCAUCUUCCCUGAUCGGCCACGCAACAUAAAUCCAUCGCAAAUUUGGGCCAUUUGGAAAAAUAUAAGACUAUAGUACAGACAACACCAUGCAAAAAUAUUUAAGCAUUUCUUCAACAUCUUCUUUUCCCUGUCAAAGAUGCUUGAGUAAGCCAGAUACAGGCAAGAGUCUUGCAAUCAUCAUUCUAAAUCAAAGCAAUUACAAAUAUGAAAGGUAUGAAAUUAAGUAAAAGAAAAGACACGUGAAUGUCCAUUGUAGUUGCCUAAGAAAAACAAUGGCAUGUGAAGUAUGGGAUUUUGCUUGUAAAACUGAAACUUAUUAUAUGUGGUCUGUAUUGUAUUCAUGAAAGAAUUGCGGCUGAAUAAGAAGAGGCACCUCACAUCUUGUAGUAUACAUCCUACCAUAAGGGGAGAAAGAUUUUAUUGUGAUAUACGGAGUAUAUGCAUGUUCAGAAAACAAAUUUUGUUUAACCAACAUGCAUAAGCGGGGACUGUGAGUACCGAAUACAAAAUUAGAGAUUAGAGAUAAGACGGCAGGUCGGCUUGCCAAAAAAUAAAGCUACCAUUGCCAUAGUAGAAGCUCGUCUAUGCAUCAGCCGGGACGACACCCGCAGAAGGAGUUGGAUCCAGG
Molecule: long non-coding RNA, 1537 nt
Filed under: Triticum aestivum (bread wheat)
Lineage: Eukaryota; Viridiplantae; Streptophyta; Magnoliopsida; Poales; Poaceae
Description: long non-coding RNA (TAES_LNC009834)
Source: RNAcentral